Molecule: microRNA precursor, 72 nt
Filed under: Medicago truncatula (barrel medic)
Lineage: Eukaryota; Viridiplantae; Streptophyta; Magnoliopsida; Fabales; Fabaceae
Description: MIR2629 microRNA precursor family
Rfam family: MIR2629 microRNA precursor family
Source: Rfam by way of RNAcentral
UGUCGAGGUUUUCCUCAGUAGUUAACUGCAACCGAUUUUAAACCUCCUCGGCAGUUAACUGCCGAAGAACAU